CCCGCGCCGAGCGAUCUUUGAUGUCCGU
RNAcentral lists this small RNA (28 nucleotides) under Bombyx mori (domestic silkworm). Its description in RNAcentral is "ovarian small RNA-13687". The record is from RNAcentral. Lineage: Eukaryota; Metazoa; Arthropoda; Insecta; Lepidoptera; Bombycidae.